This 75-nucleotide transfer RNA is filed under the name Strigamia maritima. It matches the Rfam family "tRNA". From Rfam's summary of the family: Transfer RNA (tRNA) molecules are approximately 80 nucleotides in length. Their secondary structure includes four short double-helical elements and three loops (D, anti-codon, and T loops). Further hydrogen bonds mediate the characteristic L-shaped molecular structure. tRNAs have two regions of fundamental functional importance: the anti-codon, which is responsible for specific mRNA codon recognition, and the 3' end, to which the tRNAs corresponding amino acid is attached (by aminoacyl-tRNA synthetases). tRNAs cope with the degeneracy of the genetic code in two manners: having more than one tRNA (with a specific anti-codon) for a particular amino acid; and 'wobble' base-pairing, i.e. permitting non-standard base-pairing at the 3rd anti-codon position. Lineage: Eukaryota; Metazoa; Arthropoda; Chilopoda; Geophilomorpha; Linotaeniidae. The record is from Rfam by way of RNAcentral.
GUCACCGUAGCUUAAGUAAAGCGUUUUUUGGUUUUUAAUCAAAUUAAGAUGGUGGUUCAAAUCUGCCUGGUGUCA